RNAcentral lists this ribosomal RNA (293 nucleotides) under uncultured eukaryote. Its description in RNAcentral is "partial 18S ribosomal RNA". It matches the Rfam family "Eukaryotic small subunit ribosomal RNA", at positions 6 to 292 of the family's 1831-position model. The record is from RNAcentral.
GGUUGAUCCUGCCAGUAGUCAUAUGCUUGUCUCAAAGAUUAAGCCAUGCAUGUCUAAGUAUAAAUGAAUUUAAAAUGUGAAACUGCGAAUGGCUCAUUAAAUCAGUUAUAGUUUAUUUGAUAUGUAACCUUUACCAGUGGAUAACCGUGGUAAUUCUAGAGCUAAUACAUGCAUUCAAAGCCCCGACUUUUUGGAAGGGGUGUAUUUAUUAGAUAAAAAACCAAUACUGGGCAACCAGUUUUUGGAUGAUUCAUAAUAACUUUUCGAAUCGCAUGGCCUUUGUGCCGGCGAUG